Molecule: ribosomal RNA, 229 nt
Filed under: uncultured bacterium
Lineage: Bacteria
Description: partial 16S ribosomal RNA
Rfam family: Bacterial small subunit ribosomal RNA
Source: RNAcentral
UCCGUAGGCGGGCGUCUAAGUCAGUGGUGAAAUCUUACAGCUCAACUGUAAAAUUGCCAUUGAUACUGGAUUUCUUGAAUUAGUGUGAAGUGGUUAGAAUGUGUAGUGUAGCGGUGAAAUGCAUAGAUAUUACACAGAAUACCAAUUGCGAAGGCAGAUCACUAACACUAUAUUGACGCUGAGGGACGAAAGCGUGGGGAGCGAACAGGAUUAGAUACCCUGGUAGUCC